GGAUAACGUAGCGAAAGCUACGCUAAUACCGCAUGUGAUCUGUGGAUGAAAGCGGGGGACUCGCAAGGGCCUCGCGCGAUUGGAGCGGCCGAUAUCAGAUUAGCUUGUUGGUGGGGUAAAAGCCUACCAAGGCGACGAUCUGUAGCUGGUCUGAGAGGACGACCAGCCACACUGGGACUGAGACACGGCCCAGACUCCUACGGGAGGCAGCAGUGGGGAAUUUUGGACAAUGGACGAAAGUCUGAUCCAGCCAUGCCGCGUGCAGGAAGAAGGCCUUCGGGUUGUAAACUGCUUUUGUCAGGGAAGAAAUCCUUUGGGCUAAUACCUCGGGGGGAUGACGGUACCUGAAGAAUAAGCACCGGCUAACUACGUGCCAGCAGCCGCGGUAAUACGUAGGGUGCGAGCGUUAAUCGGAAUUACUGG
This 423-nucleotide ribosomal RNA is filed under the name uncultured Pseudomonadota bacterium. RNAcentral describes it as "bacterial SSU rRNA". It matches the Rfam family "Bacterial small subunit ribosomal RNA", at positions 141 to 557 of the family's 1533-position model. Lineage: Bacteria; Pseudomonadati; Pseudomonadota. The record is from RNAcentral.